RNAcentral lists this ribosomal RNA (512 nucleotides) under uncultured bacterium. Its description in RNAcentral is "bacterial SSU rRNA". It matches the Rfam family "Bacterial small subunit ribosomal RNA", at positions 348 to 874 of the family's 1533-position model. The record is from RNAcentral.
GCAGCAGUGGGGAAUAUUGCACAAUGGGCGAAAGCCUGAUGCAGCAACGCCGCGUGCGGGAUGAAGGCCUUCGGGUUGUAAACCGCUUUCGCCAGGGGCGAAUACCAGACGGUACCUGGAGAAGAAGCACCGGCUAACUACGUGCCAGCAGCCGCGGUGAUACGUAGGGUGCGAGCGUUGUCCGGAUUUAUUGGGCGUAAAGGGCUCGUAGGUGGUUUGUUGCGUCGGAAGUGAAAACCUGCAGCUUAACUGUGGGCUUGCUUUCGAUACGGGCAGACUUGAGGAAGGUAGGGGAGAACGGAAUUCCUGGUGGAGCGGUGGAAUGCGCAGAUAUCAGGAGGAACACCGGUGGCGAAGGCGGUUCUCUGGACCUUUCCUGACGCUGAGGAGCGAAAGCGUGGGGAGCAAACAGGCUUAGAUACCCUGGUAGUCCACGCCGUAAACGGUGGGCACUAGGUGUGGGGGACAUUCCACGUUCUCCGUGCCGUAGCUAACGCAUUAAGUGCCCGCCU